Mirounga angustirostris (Northern elephant seal) is the source of this 10397-nucleotide RNA transcript. It is a transcript of the gene named D-aminoacyl-tRNA deacylase 1, with no coding region annotated. The transcript has 7 exons. The record is from RefSeq and is a predicted model, not a curated record. Lineage: Eukaryota; Metazoa; Chordata; Mammalia; Carnivora; Phocidae.
GCGGUUCGGCGCGCUUCCUGGUGUCACCCGCAGAGGGCGCCGGCCGCCGAGCCGCCCGCAGAGUCGCGAGGCCGGAAGGAGCGCGGCGCCGCCCCACUCGCCCCAGCCGCCGCCAUGAAAGCCGUGGUGCAGCGCGUCACCCGGGCCAGCGUCACAGUUGGAGGAGAGCAAAUAAGUGCUAUUGGGCGGGGCAUCUGUGUGUUGCUGGGUAUUUCUCUGGAAGAUACACAGAAGGACCUGGAGCACAUGGUCAGAAAGAUUUUAAACCUGCGCGUGUUUGAGGAUGAGAGCGGGAAACACUGGUCGAAGAGUGUGAUGGACAAACAGUACGAGGUGCUGUGCAUCAGCCAGUUCACCCUCCAGUGCGUCCUCAAGGGCAACAAGCCUGACUUCCACCUGGCAAUGCCCACGGAGCAGGCAGAGAGCUUCUACAACAGCUUCCUGGAGCAGCUGCGGAAGACAUACAGGCCGGAGCUCAUCAAAGAUGGCAAGUUUGGUGCCUACAUGCAAGUCCACAUUCAGAAUGAUGGACCUGUGACCAUAGAAUUGGAGUCCCCGGCUCCUGGCGCUGCUACCUCUGAUCCAAAGCAGCUGUCAAAGCUUGAAAAACAGCAGCAGAGGAAAGAAAAGACCAGAGCCAAGGGGCCUUCUGAGUCAAGCAAAGAGAGAAAUGCCCCCCGAAAAGAAGACCGCAGUGCCAGCAGUGGGGCGGAAGGCGACGUGUCUUCCGAGCGGGAGCCGUAGACUUAGGGAUGGAACUCAGCAGCUCCAGCGGGACCGUGGUCACCUGCAGCCUGCUCCUCUCAGAGCUGCCCGUCUCCUGUUCUUCCAUCCUUCAGUUCAUCCUGCCUGGCACCUACUGCACUCCCAGUGUCCCUUUCCUAAAAUUGGGCUUCAUUCUCGUCACUUCCACACCCAGGAAUGUGUCUUAAGUCCACCUCCUUGCCUUUGCUCAAGUUCAUUCCCCCAGCGAGCACAUUUUGGAGAGCCUCUUACUUGUCAGAGUUCACAAGUUCACGGAGAAGCAUAGAACUAAUUAGCAGUGUGGUUUAUUGUGGAGGUGUGGUGGGAAUGUGAGGCGGUGGAGAGGGAAGUCGGGGAGGCUCCUUGGAGGGGAGGAUCCCAGAACCAGACCUCAGAGGACAUAUGGAAAUGGGCAGAUGAGGGGCGAGGGUGGGAGCUGCCUAAGCCAGGAGAAGAGUAGCUGCAAACACUGUUGGGUGUGGGACAAGGACAGAGUUUUGGAACAGAGGUGGAGAAGAAUGGCUAAAGCGCUAGGUACAAUUUGGGGUGGGGUUGUCUGGGGAACUUCUGUAAAAUUAAAGAAGUAGGAGAGUUCUGGGUCAUAAGGGUCUGGCGUGCAACUGGGAAAUUUGGAUUUCAUUCUGGGAUGGCGGGAAACCUCUGAAACGGUUUGAAUAUACAAGUGACAUAAUCAGCUCCAGAGUUUAAGGAGAUCACGCUAGCAGCCGAGGGGAGUGAGGCUAGAACCAAUAGGCCAGUUGGGAGGGGGUAGCAGAAAUCAGAGAGGAGCGAGGUCUGGCCAUCCAUCUCGGAGCCUUCAGCUUAUAUAUAGUCUGUGGUUUCAAACCAAGUCAGUGUACAGGUGUUGACUGGCAAUAGAGGAGAACAUUCAUAAGAUGGUUUUCUGCCUUCUCUUUCCCUUCUGAAAGGGAAGUCCAUCUGUGAAAUGACCUUUAGGAUGCACACUGCCAGACACUGAGCUGUGUUACAGAGUCCGCAGUGAUACUUGGGUGCAGUGGAGCUGGUUUACAAACACAGACAGACCAAAGAGCUCAGAAAGAUUGCGUUGUGGACUCACUAAUAGUUUUACAGGGAAGGAAGCACUGGAUAAUCAAUCCUGUCAUGUCCCCUUGACUUUUCCCCUAAUCACCCCGUUUCCUUCCCUGUAACUAUGGGGCAUGACAGAGCCGUGGUCACUGGUCUUGGCUGAUUUUUCUCACACUCACGUGAAAGUGAAGCAGGAAUCAGAGGGAGGUUUUUUUCACACUCAGCCUCAUUCGUCACAAUCACAAGCCUCCCCCACCCCCUUUUCUUGGUCUGGACCUCAAGACAUGGGUUUUUAUUCAUGAACUGGAACAGUUGGUGUCAGUUAGGGAGAGUCUUCUGAAAAGUGCUGUGUGGUGUCUAAAUAAUGUUAAAUAUUCACGAAUACACAGUAACAUUUACAUGUGUAAUUUGUGGCCUUUAGAUCACAUAAAACUUCCAUUCCCACCCCUUCAGAACUUUGUGAUGAUUUGCUCAUACCAGUGGUCAGUUUUGUCAUCACAAAUACUGCUGGUGCUUCUGACUUAUAGUCUGAACAGAAACUUUCAGUCUGAGGGGUGAAGCACAGAGAGGCUCUUGAAGUUUGUUUUACAAGUAUGCUCGUUAAGUUAGUCCAGCAAUAACUCAGAAACUCACUGAGUUUUUAUUUUCAUCCUGCCAAUUUCUGUGUGAAAAUAAGUUGUGUCAUUUUUGCUUCCUUGGUUUUUCUUCAUUAACUAAAAGACUAAACCUCCUCCCUUCACCAGUGAUGUUGUGAAAGGUAGGCAGGUAAAGCCAUAAUGCUGGGUGACCGUCCUAGCAGGCUGGGGCAGGAGGGGCAAGUCUCCCCAUGUGUCUGUGGUGCUUCUUCUUAAGCCUCCCCUGCCCCCUGGGGAUCCUGUUAGAGAGACCGCCCUGGCACUCACUCCUGCCCCCUGGACCAAGGAUGAAGGACUGGCCAAUCUGAUGGCCAGGGAGUGACAGUCAUUAUAGUGGGUGGUUCCUUGGUUCAGAAGCAAAAUCCAGACCCGACAUUUUCUAUUUCUCCUCCUUGGACCAAGGGCAGCUGCCCAGCCUGCACGGUGUUUUGCUCUCUUGGCCCUACUCUGACACGGCACCAUGUGUUUUCCCUUUAGUUUUAAGAUUAUAUAAAUAAUAGCUUCUUCCCCAGUGAGUCUUGGGACUUUACAAUAAAUUUUAAAAAAUUGGAUUUUCAGACUCCCAUGAUGAACUCAAUGAAUAGAUAAGGAAUAAAUAUAUAAUCACUCAUCUCCCAGUAACCAAACCCAGCUUAACAAUGUAAACAUACACACACAAAUUCAAAUGUGUCUUGGACCUUGUAUUUUCAAAAUGGUUUUAAAAAAUUCCUAUGCCACCUAGUUGAUUUCUUUCUUGACUAUGUUAUCUACUUGCUAAUGUAUUUUAGAAAUUUAAUGUUUUGAUUUUUGAUGUAACUGUUUCUGUUACAUUACUUUGAAUCUUUGUUUUAUUUAUUGAGGGGUACUGAAUUCUACUUUUUAUAUCAGUGCAAAACAUAACUUUCUACUUGUGUUAAAUUUUGGCCUCAGAAUAAUUCCAGUAAAUUAGUCUAGUUAGUUAGAUUAGAAUAAUUCCGGUAGAAAGGUGUCCUGGACAUUAGUAUCCUGUGGCCAGUGGGCAGCUUGGGAAUGAUUUUGCCAUUUCUGUAGGCAAGAAAAACACCCGAAAGCCCCAUGCAUAGAGGAAGAGACACUAACUAUGUAUCAAAGAACAUCCUGGAGGACAUGUUCACAAUAGAAAACAGCACACAGUAAAACGGGGAAGAGGUGAAAGUGGGCGUUUCUUUCCAACAUCUCCCAAAGCUUAAGAGGCAAAAUUUCUCAUAGACUUGUAGGUAUUUAUUUUUUGCUUUUCUAAAAUCGGUGGAAAAAUUAAAAACCUGUAAUCAUGUUUAUUCUCAAGGUAUUACAGAUUGGAUAGUAUAGAACUUGGGGUAAAUCAUGCUACGGUUGACCCUUGAAACAACAUGGGUUUGAAUUCUAUGGAUCCCCUCUUAUGGAUUUUUUCAGUAUAUGUAUUAAAAAUUUUUUUGGAGAUUUGCAACAAUUUGAAAAAGUCCACAGACAACCCUGUAGCCUAGAAAUAUAAAAAAAAAAUUAAGAAAAAGUUAGGCAUGUCAUGAAUGCAUAAAAUAUAUGUAGGUACUAGUCUGUUGUAUCAGUUACUACCAUAAAAUACACAUAAAUCUAUUAUAAAAAGUUAAAAUUUAUCAAAACUUACACACACAAAUACUUAACAGACCAUAUGUGGCACCAUUUACAGUGGAGAGAAAUGUAAACAAGUGUGAAGAUGCAGUAUUAAAUGGUAACUGCAUAAAAUUAACUAUAGCGCAUGCUAUAUACUACCAUAAUAAUUUCCUAGCCACCUCCUGUUGCUAGUGCGGUGAGCUCAGGUGUUGUGCGCACCCGCUUCAAAUGUGUGACGCUUAUCAUCUCCCCAUGAGCAGUUUGUCUCUGCAGUAAAUUGCAGGUCGUAGUAAAAAGUGACCUCUCACAGUUCUUGCAUAUUUUUCAUCAUGUUUAGUGCAGUAUUCUAACCCUUGAGUAACACUGUGGGACCCAUCGAAGUGCCACUAGUGAUGCUGGGAUUGCUCCCAAGAAGCAGAGAAAAGUCAUGACGCCACAAGAAAAAGCUGAAUUGCUUGAUGUGUACCAUAGAUUAAGGUCUGAAGCUGCAGGGCACACCAUCUCAGGAUCAAUGAAUCCAGCGUAAGGAACAUUGUAAGAAAAGGAAAUUCAUGAAGCCGUUGCUGCAGCUAUGCCAGCAGGCACAGAAGCCUUGCACUUUUUGCAAAAUACCCUUUUAUCUCAUAUUGGAAAUGCAGCUUUUAUGUGGGUGCAGGAUUGCUAUAAGAAAGGCAUACCGGUAGACUCAAAGAUGAUUUGAGAAAAGAAAAGGUGAAAUCGUUAUGCGACGACUUAAAGCAAAAGGAAGGUGAAGGAUCUAAAACUAGAGUAUUGAAUGCCAGCAAAGGAUGGUUUGAUAAUUUUAGAAAGAGGUUUGGCUUUACAAAUACCAAGGUAACAGGAGAAGCAGCUUUUGCUGACCAAGAGGUAGCAGACAAGUUCCCAAACACCAUUGAGAAGAUCACUGAGGAAAAAGGAUAUCUGUCUGAACAGGUUUUUAAUGCAGACAAAGUACCCUAUUCUGGAAGAAAAUGUCCCAGAGGACAUUUAUUAGUAAGAGAAGCAGGUAUCAGGAUUUAAGGCAGGAAGGGAGAGGCUAACUGCUGUUUUGUGCAAAUGCAGUUGGGUUUAUGAUCAGGAUUGCUCUUAUCUAUAAAGCUGCGAACCCCUAGCCUUGAAAGGAAAAGAUGAACACCAGCUGCUAUCUUUUUGGUUACAUAACAAGAAGGCCUGGACCGUGAGAACCCUUUUGCUGGAUUGGUUCCGUUGAUGCUUUGUUCCUGAAGUCAGGGAGUACCUUGCCAGGAAGGGACUGCCUUUUAAAGUCUUUUUGAUGUUGGUCAAUGCCCCUGGCUACAGAACCCCAUGAGUUCAACACUGAAGGUGUCAAAGUGGCCCUGUGGUCUCCAAACACCUGGUCUCUAAUUCAGGCUCUAGAUCAGGGGAUCAUGAGGACCUUGAAGGCUCAUCACACACGGGACUGUAUGGAAAGCAUUGUCUGUGCUCUGGAAGAGAACCCCAAUAGAACAUCAAGAAGGUCUGGAAGGAUUACUCCAUUGAAGAUGCCACUGUUAUUAUAGAAAAUGCUGUGAAAGCCAUCAAGCCUGAAACAAUAAAUCCCUGCUGGAGAAAAUUGUGUCCAGAUGUUGUGCAUGACUUCACAGCAUGUACAACAGAGCCAGUCAUGGGAAUCAUGAAAGAGAUUGUGGAUAUGGUUUAAAAAAAAAAAAAAAGGUGAGUUGAGGGGGUGAAGGGUUUCAUGAUACAGAUCUUGGAGAAAUUCAAGAGCUAAUGGGCACCACAGAGGAAUUACCAGAAGACGUCUUGAGGGAGAUGAGUGUCAGGCGAUGGGGAGGAAGACCUAGAAGCAGCAGUGGCAGAAAACAAACUGUGUUAGUCUGGCAGAAGGGUUCCAGGCAUUCCUGACUGCUUUCGGCUUCUUUUAUGAGAUGGACACAAACUAAAGCAAAGAUAGAGGAAGGAUUGGUGCCAUAUAGAAAUAUUUUUAGAGAAAAGAAGAAGCAAAAAUGUCAGAAAUGAUGAGAUUUGGUGUUUCCAUGGUUAUACCGAGUGUGCGUGCCUCUCCUGCCUCCCCUUCCACCUCCUGCACCCCCUCUGCUCUGCCACCCUGGGACAGCAAGACCAGCCUCUCUUCUUCCUCCGCCGCCUGCUCUUCGUGAGGACUGCGAGGAUGGAGACCUUAGGGAUGAUCCACUUCUACUUACUGAAUAGUAAAUAAUCAUCGUGCUGUACAGUUAGUAAACUGAUGGGUUGUGUAUGUGUGUGUCCUCGUGUGAAAACCUGGCAGCCGUGCAGCAAGGACUGAUGUGUGUCAUCGUCAUCAUCGCCCACGUAUUCAUCAUGUGCAAGGCGCAUGUGGAAGCAGAGAGCGGAAGGUGAGCGAUACUAAUAUGAAAUUGAUGACACGUUUGUUCUCUUACUGUCUUAUAACCUUGCCUUCAAAGAAUUACCAUACAGUGUGCCUCUCUGUCUUAUAACUGGACAAAGUGCACACUGGCCUAUCAUCACAGGUAAGUGGUUCUUAAAACAACAGUAUUUACAGUACUGUAUUAUGAAUACGACUGUGAUACCAUAUGCCAGAAACAUUGUAUAACGAUUCAUUCAUUAGCCUAUGGGCUAGGCUCCCAUAAAGCAAUCCUACCACUGCCUCUUCGUUCUCAACGCACUUAGUAUUACACCUGUAAAUAAAUAUGAAUUUAUUUUUCACACUCUCUUUUCGUUUUUGGUGUCUGCAGUUAGUGAUGUGGAUAACGUGUACAGUGACAGUGUUUUGUGUCCUGUAGGACAGACAAUUCAUCUUGUGAACAGAUGAAAGCGUCUGGUGCCGAUAGAUACAGGACAGGACUGUGCAUGUGUUUUCUCCUCAUGAUUUUCUUAAUAACAUCGUCUUUUCUCUUGCUUUAUUGUAAGAACACAGUACGUGAUAUGUGUGGCAUACAGAAAAUGUGUGGUUUAUGUCAGCAGUAAGGCUUUGGUCAGCAGUAAGCUAUUAGUAGUUAAGUUUUUGGGGAGUCAGAGGUUCUAUGGAUUUUUCACCUGUGUAGGGGUUGGUGUCCCUAACUUCCAUGUUGUUCAAGAGUCAAACAAACAAACAAACAAAAACUAGCCAGAGAAGGGACACAGUAGUGGGGGAAGCAAACUCAAGGGCACAGUGUUUUGAAAACAGUAGAUGUGUUUUUCCUUUUCCCUGUAAAUCAAGGGCAUUGCGGCCCUGUCAUCAUUAUGGCCCUGUGGUGGGGAGAUGAGGAGAAGGUGAAUGAGCAGGAAUGAUGUAGAGAGGAUCCCCUGUCCGGCAGGAGGGAAGGUGAAGGAAAGCUUCAGCUUAGGAGAGGCAGUGGGAGAGAGAAGAGGGACAGCCGGUGGAGAAGCCCAAGGCCACACGUCGUGUUGUGGCUCCAGGCUAGAGUCCUCGGGCUGCUGGUUAGGUUGAUAGGAAAGGUGGAGGCCUGGGGGCCUGUGCUCUGGUCCCUGGUGGGAGUCCGGGCAGGAGACUGCUGUGUAGGACAGCUGUAGGUCUCUGCGAGGCUGCUGCAGCUGAGUAGAAGGGGCAGCAAGACAUGGUUAGGCAACAAGAUGCAGCAGGAGUCGGUAGAGGGUCUCACCUGCCCCAUGAGGGGUGUCGAAGAGAGGUGUGUUGGGGGUCCGUUGGGCUGACCGUGGGUCCCGGUGGAAGGAGUGAGGUGAGCCUGGCUCAGAGUAGAGUCUAAGAGAGCCAGGAGGGUCAUGACCUCAGCUCUUGAUAGCACUGCUGCUCUCAGACCCUGCAGGUCUCAACCACCAUCUCCAUGUGGCUCCCAGGGUGGGGUGUGAGGGGUCUGUAGUGCUAGUGAGGGCAGGAAUGAGGUCAGGUCAGGCAGGGGCAGGGGCUCUGGCCCCUGAGCUAUCAAGUGCUGCUCAAUGGUGUCCCCGGGGCUCAGCACCAGGUGCGGAAUCACACCAGCCACCCAGGCACAGAGACCAUUUGAGGACUCAGAUGUUCUGACACCCAGGUGAGCAGAAUUACUAGGGGUUCAAGGUUGCCCCUGCUGCUACUCAGCGGGAUGGAGUCCCGUGAGGACAUUUGGAUGGGCCCAUGAAAAUGCAGAAGCCACAUUUUCUUUGCAUAUUUAUGGAGCACUGUCUGGCUUUUUGACUGAGUGCGUGAGGCAAACCAUUUACUUAUUGGCAGUUGAAGGUGGGUGUACAGUUGGAAUUCUAACCUGAGAUGGCAGCGGAGGCCCGGUGGCUGGUGCUGACAUCCCGGCAUGGACAGAUGUGAGGGGUCCUCUGAGAGCCCACUGCCGCAGCCAGCCAAGGGCCAGGGAGGAGCUGGAUUCCCCCCCGACCUCUGGAAUUAUAGACAUGUUCUCAGAUUUGAAGACCCUAAAGGAGGCCAGGAGUAAAUGACAGCUGGUCCUCCAAUUAUGUAUUUGGGUUUUUUGUUGCCCAUGGGCUUUUGUUGUCCCAUCUGCUGAAAUUUGUCAUCCCAGUAGACCCACGAAAUCACCACCAAAUAUUCAGAUAUCUCUAAGAGCUGAAAUCGGUAGUGACAGAAGGUGACCUUGGCAUUGACUGUGCUGCGCAGAAAAGCAGCAGCCCCGCCCCGGCCUCAGUGAGGGGAGCUGCAGUUUUUAUUUGCUUUUCUUUACCAACAGAAACAGCCCUAGGGAGCCUCACAGGACCUAAGGGAGCAGCUUUGAGUUUCCAAGGCAUGAGAGAGAAAGAAAAGGCAAAAGAAAAUGGAGUGAGAGACUGCAUGAGCUUGGGCAUAGUUUUCUUUGAAAGUGAGUCAGAAACCUUCAGAGGACACUCCCAGGGUGCUGACAUUUCUCUAUCACAUUGCAGAUGUUUCUUAUUUUAUCAUCUGGACAUGGAAGUGCUAAAAUGCACUUCUGUUUUUGUACUUGGUCUCAUUCCUUCAGGCUCACUCACCUUGCUGGGAGGGUUCAAGGUUUCCUAUGAGGCUGCAACUUCCUUUUCCUCCCUUUCUGGCCAUAGCCAAAGGCGCAUGGCAGCCUCUCACGAGGACCGUAUGCCCUCUGCCUUUGAUUGCAAGGUCAAGUAUGGCCUCAUUUGAGUAUUUACUUCGCUGCCAUCAUUAGGGUGUGAGAGGAGUGUGCUCCUGGGCAGCACCCCACAUUUCUGUCCUCAAAUGUCAACACACUUGAAACCAAGCAAGGAAAGUGUUUUGGAAGCUGCCAUCUGUUUGCUUUUUCAACUUGACCUUUGUCUGAAUAACAAGAUUUAUCUGGCUGAGCACAUUUCUUCCUAAUGAGCUAGAGCAGUUAUGUGUGUGUAUUCAAGGAUAGUCAUGUUUUCACUGGUUUUCUUGUUUUGUUUUGUUUUGUUGUUUUUUGUUUUUUUCCCCUGUAGAAAAUAGAAUCUCUUUCAUUUCCACAGCUUUCAUUUUGCUUCCCUAUGUCAACAUUUAUUCCCAGUUCAGGUGCUGUUGCUUCAUGUAUAAAACUAUGCCUCUGAGGUGCGGUUUUUAUUUUUUUAAACUUAAAAUUUUUUUAGUGGUUGCCCUAGAUGUUGCAAUACACAUUUUAAAAAAAGAUUUAUUUAUUUUUUUCAGAGAGCGAGCUUGCGAGCAAGUGGGAGGAGGGGCAGAGGGCGAGAGAGAAUUCUCAAGCAGACUCCCUGCUGAGCACAGAGCCCAAUGUGGGGUUUGAACUCAUGACCCUGAGAUCAGGACCUGAACUGAGAUCAAGAGUUGGACGCUUAACAGACUGAGCCACCCAGGCACCCUGCAAAUCCAAGUUUCUGACCUAUAUCAUGUUUCUUCUGCCUGAAAAACUUCUCUUAAUGUUUCUUGAAAUGCAGAUCUAAGGAAGUCUAUUUCCCGCACUUUUGGAGGAUAAUUUCAGUGGCACAGAAUUUUGGUGCAUUGGGCAGAACUGGAUCCUGAAAAAUUCAUGAAAGAUGCUGAGUACCUACACUGCUUUAAGAAUUUGGAACUGAAUCAUGAAAAGGAAGACAGAAAUAAGAAACUGGGACCCCGAGUAGCCCUGCAGAAACAAAGCAGAACAAAACACCACCACCAAAGGAACGAUACCGUUUUCUGUUGUUGCUGUGGUCUAAUAGCAAAAGUGGAUGCUGGCAGUGCAGGGGCCUGCACCCCAUGCACAUGGCAGCAGGGCAUACACCCAUGCUUCCCCCAUGCAAAGACUACUGGUUCCUGUGAUUUCUUGGCUUGCUUUUGAAACAGGUUGGCCCAACAUCAUUUGUCACCGAGUCCUCCCUUCACAUGUGUCCAUGAUGGGUCUCAACUGCAUUCAUGCUGUCCAUGUUCUUCCCAACACUGGCUAAGCCAGGGCCCGGGUUAAGGUGUAAAGAGAACAAACAUUGGUGAUAAUGUAUUGUGUAAGACCUUUGCAUCUUGUAAAUUUUCUCAUUUUUCUAAAAAGAAAUAAUAAAAUCCUAAACCCCAACAAACCACUUUAUUAUUAAACAAAUCCUGCUGUG